This 495-nucleotide ribosomal RNA is filed under the name uncultured bacterium. RNAcentral's name for it is "partial 16S ribosomal RNA". It matches the Rfam family "Bacterial small subunit ribosomal RNA", at positions 28 to 507 of the family's 1533-position model. The record is from RNAcentral.
GACGAACGCUGGCGGCGUGCCUAAUACAUGCAAGUAGAACGCUGAAGGAGGAGCUUGCUUCUCUGGAUGAGUUGCGAACGGGUGAGUAACGCGUAGGUAACCUGCCUGGUAGCGGGGGAUAACUAUUGGAAACGAUAGCUAAUACCGCAUAAGAGUAGAUGUUGCAUGACAUUUGCUUAAAAGGUGCAAUUGCAUCACUACCAGAUGGACCUGCGUUGUAUUAGCUAGUUGGUGAGGUAACGGCUCACCAAGGCAACGAUACAUAGCCGACCUGAGAGGGUGAUCGGCCAAACUGGGACUGAGACACGGCCCAGACCCCUACGGGAGGCAGCAGUAGGGAAUCUUCGGCAAUGGACGGAAGUCUGACCGAGCAACGCCGCGUGAGUGAAGAAGGUUUUCGGAUCGUAAAGCUCUGUUGUAAGAGAAGAACGAGUGUGAGAGUGGAAAGUUCACACUGUGACGGUAUCUUACCAGAAAGGGACGGCUAACUACGUA